ACAGCAUAUUUUAACUUAAUUUCAAAAUUCCCUUUUAACCCUAAAAGUGAAGCUGCGUCGUCGAAUGUUCAUCGAUGUUCAUCGCACCGCCUUCAUUAUCCCACAGCCUUCAUCAUCUUCAUCAAUGACCGUCGCACAACCCUUCCUCUAACCCUCGUACCCGGCCCUCUCUCUAUCGCCACCUAGCUAUUUCUCAACCCUUGGACCCACCCCUCGCACUAUCAACCCAACCCUCUCAAUCGUUCGCCCUCUCUCUGUCGCACCAUCAACGCAUCGACACUGUUCUUGUUUUGAUUUUAGGCUUUAUUACACGAAAACCAAGCUCGGCACUCCUGGUAUUGAUUAUUGGGUGCAAGUUGAUACUGGAAGUGACCUUCUAUGGGUGAAUUGUUCUGGCUGCUCAUUCAUUACCUUUCUGAUUCUAAAUCCUACUCCCUCAGCAGUCUCUCUCUGUCGCAACCCUCGCACCCUCAAUGUAAGCCUCCUCCUUAGAUUGGCAACCUUGCACCCUCUCUCGCAACCUUCUAUCGGCGCUGCCCCGUCGGUGCUGCUCUAUCGAUGCUGAUCCCUCGGCGUGUCCUCCCUGAAUCGGCGCUGUCUAUCGCUACCUAUCCCUCACUCGGCGCUCAACCCUUGAGCAACUGGAACCUCAGCUUCUUGGCUGCUGAAGUUAUCUGAUGAAAUAGUUUCAGAAUUUGGCGUGAAGCCAACCUGUCCAGCAAGACUUGCAAGAGUCCUGAAACGAAUGCACUCAACACGAAGGGUACUUGAUGGGUACUUGAUGGGUACUGAAUUUGAAAUAAUUGAGACAAGAAUAACACCUAUGCUUGCACAACUCCAAUGUGAGUGUGGCAUUCUGCAAAGAUUGGUCUAUAAGAACAGGAACCAGCACCGACAUUCUUCAUAUUUCCAACAUCUUUUGAAGUGACUGGUCAAUUGUUGACUCUGGAACUGCAAGGCUUCUUGCUUGGGAUACAUGCUGUGACAGAUUUGCUAUAUUGGAAUCAGCAAUUCCCCCAAGACUUCCUGUAUUUCCCAAGGGUAGUUCAUCAAAAAGAGCAAGAGAGGCAGCUGCAGUAGCUUCUUCAGCUUCUGUUCAAGUCUGCAUCUUAUUAUAUGAUGGAACAUCAAAUAUACUAAUGAGAUCUGUUGGUACAUACAGUGAACCGGCCGUGUGCUGCUUCAACCCUCCUUCAUUCUCGCUUAUCACUCCCUUCUAUCCGCUCUUGUGCUUCCUCUGCCACCGACGCACCUUUUACUUCUUCAGACACGAUCACUCCUCCAACCCCUCUCAAGAAACGGGUAGUCUUCGGAGUGCAGCCAACUGGGUCAAUUCACCUUGGAAACUAUUUUGGAGCCAUCAAGAAUUGGGUUGCACUUCAGGUUAUAUAUGUUCCAUUCGGUUGUUGUGUAGUUAUUCAUAGAUUUACAUGAGUUUUUAUGAUAUUCUGCUUAUUUGAUUUUUAGUAAUUUUUCUUAUAAAAACAAAGCACUGCAUCUGAUAAGAGUUUGGUUAGUGGCUUUCUCCUUUCUCUCUUCUUCCUUUUCUUUUUUUUAAAAAGCAAAGAAAACCAUAUACUGAAUUUCGAUCAUAUAGACCUUCUAAAAUUUUUGACCAAGUUAAUCAAAUUUUACAGAAUAUUUUGUAUUCAAUUCAUUAUUAAGAACAGUCAUGUACUUAUCUUGUUGGGGUCCUAACUAAAUGUGAGUAAUGAGAUCUAUUUGAGACAAUAGAGAAGCAAUUUUUCAUCUUUGAUGCUACUAGCUAGGCCAUAAACAGAAGUUAUACCUUAAUUAAUUAGAAUGAGAUUUCUGUCUCUUGCUAUAUUAGGCUUUGUACAAAUUGAUUAUUAUUGUAUAGUCUAUGAAACGAAAUGGAAUGACGAUAAAAAUUAGUAUAUUUUUAAAUGCUACCCUAUCAUGAUUAGGUUUAAUUUCUUUUUCUCUCUAAAAAUCCACUUUAACACUUUUGGAGUCAUUUUCAUAAAUCUAAAUAAGAGACCAAAGAUUAGAGUUCAUCCUUUAUUGUAAAAAGGGAAGGAAAAUAUUUUUUGGCUUACAUACUUUAUUCUAGUAUAUUAAGUAAUAUUUGUCAAAAUAGGAACAUGAUAAAUUAUUCUAGUACAUUAAGCGCUUUAUUUAUUUAUUUAUUCAUUUAUUUAUUUAUUUGAGGUUAUGCACUCAAAUUGUGGGUUUGAGUUAUUAGUGGCUGCUGACUGCUAUUGCUAUUGCUAUUAUUGUUAAACUAUUUAGACUUGUUUAAAGCUAAAAUUCCUGUUUAUAUUAGAGAUGAUAGAAUCGAUGAAGAUGCAUUCAAGGUAUCUGACCACCUCUCUUGAUUUUUUACUCCAUGCUAUAAUACUACAUAGUUAAUUACUUAAUUAUAUUGGUUGACCACAAUGUGAUGUUUUGGGACAAUUUGAACUAACUUAAAUGAGAAAACAGAAAUUGAGAGACAGAGGACGAGGUCUUGGAAUUCUUGUCUCAAAAUUUUUGGAAGACACUAAUGCAUCGUACUCUUUACAGAACCUAAUGA
Arachis duranensis is the source of this 2536-nucleotide RNA transcript. RefSeq lists it as uncharacterized. The record is from RefSeq and is a predicted model, not a curated record. NCBI's taxonomy places the organism in Eukaryota, Viridiplantae, Streptophyta, Magnoliopsida, Fabales, Fabaceae. The transcript has 6 exons.